Molecule: RNA transcript, 1093 nt
Organism: Olea europaea var. sylvestris
Lineage: Eukaryota; Viridiplantae; Streptophyta; Magnoliopsida; Lamiales; Oleaceae
Gene name: photosynthetic NDH subunit of lumenal location 2, chloroplastic
Exons: 3
Source: RefSeq, a predicted model, not a curated record
GUCCAGGUUGUAACACAAUGCAACAAACUAAUCCACUCUACCUGCCCCAAACUUCAGUUUCCAUCUCCUUCACACGGCAAUCUUCCAUGAACUAAAUUAAGCCAUGAGCUUCAUCUUCUCAAACUCCACAACCAUUUUUCGAUCUCAAACCACCGCUGCACACAAAAAUGAACUACACAAUCACCGUUCAUUUCCAAGAAUCCAGGCAACCACAUCUGAUCAAGAAAAUCGGACCCAACGACGAAGUUUUUUGUCGUCAUUUCUAGCCACUUCGGUGGCUCUAGGCCUCCAUGCCACCCCGUUGGCACUAGCCGAGAAUUGGGGUACCCGGUCGUUUCUCCGGGAGAGGUUCUUCGAGCCUGGAUUGUCGCCGGAAGAUUCGGUGGCAAGAAUUCGACAGACUGCCGAAGGACUUCAUAGCAUUAGGGGCAUGCUGGAAACCAUGUCAUGGAGGUAUGUUUUGUAUUACAUACGUUUAAAGCAAGCUUAUCUUUCACAGGAUAUGAAAACUGCCAUGACAAUGGUGCCUCAAAGCCGACGAAAUUCCUAUGUUCAGACUGCUAAUGAUUUGGUCGAUAACAUGGCCGAGUUCGAUUAUUACAUUCGGACUCCGAAGGUGUAUGAAUCGUAUCUAUACUACGAGAAGACAUUGAAAUCGAUCGACGAUCUUGUCGCCUUGUUAGCAUAAUACAAAAAGAUGCAUCUGCCGGAAGAGUUCUUCUGAUACUUGCGUUACGAUAAGUAGCAGAUUGAAACUGAGAAAUCCAUAAUUUUUUUUUUCCAGAGCAGCAUAUGAAGUACGUAUUAUAGUGGAGAAAGUGGGUUGCUUUGAAGAAAAUUUCUAGCAUUUUCACAUGAAUAUUGAUUGUUAGAAUUAAAGACAAUUACAGGCAAAUUGAUAGAACUUGAAGACAUAAUGACUUUGUUGUUAAAAGUUUCCGAGUCCUAUUAUAUACUUGUCUAGUAAUAAUAGUUGAUACAAUUUCUCUCAAGAAAACUGUUGUAGUAGAAGGGUGACAAAAAAUGCAAUUCACUCUCUCGUACUUAAGUCUGUAUUGCGAAGUAGAUGGCUAAAAAUGGUCAAAGUUGCCUA